AGCGUAUACGGUGGAUGCCUUGGCAGUUAGAGGCGAUGAAGGACGUGUAAGUCUGCGAAAAGCUGUGGUGAGUUGACAAAACGCAUUUGAGCCACAGAUGUCCGAAUGGGGAAACCCACCGCUUCGGCGGUAUCUGCAACUGAAUACAUAGGUUGUAGAGGCAAACGAGGGGAACUGAAACAUCUAAGUACCCUUAGGAAAAGAAAUCAAUUGAGAUUCCCCUAGUAGCGGCGAGCGAACGGGGAGCAGCCGAAUCUAUUUGAAUUAGCAGAAUGAGUUGGGAAGCUCAACGAUACAGGGUGAUAGUCCCGUAUGCGAAGGUUCAAGUAGGUCAUAUUAAGUAGGUCGGGACACGUGUUAUCUUGACUGAAGAUGGGGGGACCAUCCUCCAAGGCUAAAUACUCCUAACUGACCGAUAGUGAAGUAGUACCGUGAGGGAAAGGCGAAAAGAACCCCUGUGAGGGGAGUGAAAUAGAACCUGAAACCGUAUACGUACAAGCAGUGGGAGCCCUUCGGGGUGACUGCGUACCUUUUGUAUAAUGGGUCAGCGACUUAUAUUUAGUAGCAAGGUUAACCGUCUAGGGGAGCCGUAGCGAAAGCGAGUGUUAACUGCGCGUUUAGUUGCUAGGUAUAGACCCGAAACCCGGUGAUCUAGCCAUGGGCAGGUUGAAGGUUGAGUAACAUCAACUGGAGGACCGAACCCACUAACGUUGAAAAGUUAGGGGAUGACUUGUGGCUGGGGGUGAAAGGCCAAUCAAACCGGGAGAUAGCUGGUUCUCCCCGAAAUCUAUUUAGGUAGAGCCUCGGACGAAUUCCAUUGGGGGUAGAGCACUGUUAAGGCUAGGGGGUCAUCCCGACUUACCAACCCUUUGCAAACUCCGAAUACCAAUGAGAACUAUCCGGGAGACACACGGCGGGUGCUAACGUCCGUCGUGGAGAGGGAAACAACCCAGACCGCCAGCUAAGGUCCCAAAAUAUUGCUAAGUGGGAAACGAUGUGGGAAGGCUAAGACAGCUAGGAGGUUGGCUUAGAAGCAGCCACCCUUUAAAGAAAGCGUAAUAGCUCACUAGUCGAGUCGGCCUGCGCGGAAGAUGUAACGGGGCUAAGCAAUAUACCGAAGCUGCGGCAGCAAGUUUACUUGCUGGGUAGGGGAGCGUUGUGUAAGUGGAUGAAGGUGAACUGAGAAGUUUGCUGGACAUAUCACAAGUGCGAAUGCUGACAUGAGUAACGAUAAUGGGGGUGAAAAACCCCCACGCCGGAAGACCAAGGUUUCCUGUCCCAUGCUAAUCAGGGCAGGGUAAGUCGGCCCCUAAGGCGAGGCAGAAAUGCGUAGUCGAUGGGAAACGGGUUAAUAUUCCCGUACUUAUAUAAUCAGUGAUGGGGGGACGGAGAAGGCUAGGCCAUCGUGGCGUUGGUUGUCCACGUGAAAGUGCGUAGGCUGAGAACUUAGGUAAAUCCGGGUUCUUAAGGCCGAGACACGAGACGAGUCACUACGGUGAUGAAGUGGUUGAUGCCCUGCUUCCAGGAAAAGCCUCUAAACUUAUGAUUAUAUGAACCGUACCCCAAACCGACACAGGUGGUCAGGUAGAGAAUACUAAGGCNGCCGGAAGACCAAGGUUUCCUGUCCCAUGCUAAUCAGGGCAGGGUAAGUCGGCCCCUAAGGCGAGGCAGAAAUGCGUAGUCGAUGGGAAACGGGUUAAUAUUCCCGUACUUAUAUAAUCAGUGAUGGGGGGACGGAGAAGGCUAGGCCAUCGUGGCGUUGGUUGUCCACGUGAAAGUGCGUAGGCUGGAAACUUAGGUAAAUCCGGGUUUCUAAGGCCGAGACACGAGACGAGUCACUACGGUGAUGAAGUGGUUGAUGCCCUGCUUCCAGGAAAAGCCUCUAAACUUAUGAUUAUAUGAACCGUACCCCAAACCGACACAGGUGGUCAGGUAGAGAAUACUAAGGCGCUUGAGAGAACUCGGGUGAAGGAACUCGGCAAAAUAGUACCGUAACUUCGGGAGAAGGUACGCCCCUGUUUGUGAAGGAUUUACUCCGUAAGCAGAUGGGGGUCGCAGUGACCAGGUGGCUGGGACUGUUUAUUAAAAACACAGCACUGUGCUAAAUCGAAAGAUGACGUAUACGGUGUGACACCUGCCCGGUGCCGGAAGGUUAAUUGAUGGGGUUAGCGUAAGCGAAGCUCUUGAUCGAAGCCCCGGUAAACGGCGGCCGUAACUAUAACGGUCCUAAGGUAGCGAAAUUCCUUGUCGGGUAAGUUCCGACCUGCACGAAUGGUGUAACCAUGGCCACGCUGUCUCCACCCGAGACUCAGUGAAAUUGAAAUUGCUGUGAAGAUGCAGUGUACCCGCACCUAGACGGAAAGACCCCGUGAACCUUUACUACAGCUUGGCACUGAACAUUGACCCUACAUGUGUAGGAUAGGUGGGAGGCUUUGAAGCGUUGUCGCCAGAUGACGUGGAGCCGUCCUUGAAAUACCACCCUUGUAUGUUUGAUGUUCUAACAUUGGCCCCUUAUCGGGGUUGUGGACAGUGUCUGGUGGGUAGUUUGACUGGGGCGGUCUCCUCCCAAAUAGUAACGGAGGAGCACGAAGGUUAGCUAAUCACGGUCGGACAUCGUGAGGUUAGUGCAAUGGCAUAAGCUAGCUUAACUGCGAGACAGACACGUCGAGCAGGUACGAAAGUAGGUCAUAGUGAUCCGGUGGUUCUGAAUGGAAGGGCCAUCGCUCAACGGAUAAAAGGUACUCCGGGGAUAACAGGCUGAUACCGCCCAAGAGUUCAUAUCGACGGCGGUGUUUGGCACCUCGAUGUCGGCUCAUCACAUCCUGGGGCUGAAGUCGGUCCCAAGGGUAUGGCUGUUCGCCAUUUAAAGUGGUACGCGAGCUGGGUUUAGAACGUCGUGAGACAGUUCGGUCCCUAUCUGGUGUGGGCGUUGGAUGAUUGAGGGGAGCUGCUCCUAGUACGAGAGGACCGGAGUGGACGAACCGCUGGUGUUCGGGUUGUUUUGCCAAAGGCAUUGCCCGGUAGCUACGUUCGGAACGGAUAACCGCUGAAAGCAUCUAAGCGGGAAGCCGGCCCCAAGAUGAGUCAUCCCUGGACGUAAGUCCUGGAAGGGUUGU
RNAcentral lists this ribosomal RNA (3116 nucleotides) under Neoalteromonas facilis. RNAcentral's name for it is "bacterial LSU rRNA". It matches the Rfam family "Bacterial large subunit ribosomal RNA". The record is from RNAcentral. Lineage: Bacteria; Pseudomonadati; Pseudomonadota; Gammaproteobacteria; Alteromonadales; Alteromonadaceae.